AUGGAGCAAUGGGCGUACUACCAUUGCCUCUUCCUGGCUCUCCUCCUCCCUCUCCUGCUGCUCAAGCUCAACAGCAAGCGUGGCGGCGUGCGUCUGCCACCCGGUCCGUGGCGGCUGCCGGUCAUCGGCAGCCUGCAGCACCUCGCCGGCAACCCGCUCGUGCACCGCGUCAUGGCCGACCUCGCGCGCCGGCUGGACGCGCCGCUCAUGUACCUCAAGCUCGGCGAGGUGCCCGUGGUGGUGGCCACGUCCCCGGAGGCCGCCCGCGAGAUCAUGCGGACGCACGACGUCGUCUUCGCGACGCGGCCGUGGAGCCCCACCGUCAAGAUCAUGAACGCCGAGGGGCAAGGCCUGAUAUUCGCGCGCUACGGUGCGUUGUGGCGCCAGCUCCGCAAGAUCUGCAUCCUGGAGCUGCUCAGCGCGCGCCGCGUGCAGUCGUUCCGCCAUAUCAGAGAGGACGAGGUCGGACGCCUCCUGGCCGCUGUUGCCGCGGUGCCGCCCGGGGAGCCCGUGAACGUGAGCGAGCGGAUCGCCGUGCUCAUCACCGACUCGGCGGUGCGCGCCAUGAUUGGGGACAGGUUUAAGAGGCGGGAGGAGUUCUUGCAGACUCUCGACGAAGGGGUCAAGCUCGUCGCCGGGUUCAACCUCGGCGACCUCUUCCCGUCGUCGCGCCUCGCCAGCUUCAUCAGCGGCACGGCGCGGCUGGCCGAGGAGAACCACCGCAAGAGCUUCGAGCUCAUGGAGUACGCGAUCCAGCAGCACGAGCAGCAGAGGGCCGCCGCCUCAGCGAACGAUGACGGAGGAGAGGACCUAGUGGACACGCUCUUGAGGAUACGCAAGGAAGGUGGCCUCGACGUGCCUCUUACCAUGGGCAUGAUCAAAGCAGUUAUACUGGAUCUAUUUGGUGCCGGGAGUGAGACUUCAGCUACCACACUUCAGUGGGCCAUGUCGGAGCUCAUGAGGUACCCAAACGUGAUGCGGAAAGCACAAGCUGAAGUACGCAAAAACCUCCAAGGAAAACAUAAGGUGACUGAGGAUGACUUGGCCAAUCUCAAGUACCUUAGACUCGUCAUCAAGGAGACAAUGAGGUUGCAUCCAGCCGCGCCAUUGCUUCUCCCUAGAGAGGCCAUGGAGCCUUGCAAAAUUCUCGGGUACGACAUACCCAAGGGCACCACGGUGUUGGUGAAUGCAUGGGCGAUCGGCAGGGAUCCUAAGCAUUGGGAGGAUCCUGAGGAGUUCAAGCCGGAGAGAUUCAAGUCCGGAAUGGUCGACUUCAAAGGCACAAACUUCGAGUACAUACCGUUCGGGGCAGGCAGGAGAAUGUGCCCUGGAAUGACAUUUGCGCAGGCCAGCAUGGAGAUUGUGCUCGCCUCACUUCUCUACCACUUUGACUGGGAGCUCCCAAAUGGGGUUAAGCCAGAUGGGCUAGACAUGACCGAGGAGAUGGGUCUCACCGUCCGGCGAAAGAACGACUUGUAUCUGCACGCCGUGGUCCAUGUACCCCUGAUUUGA
Molecule: ribosomal RNA, 1512 nt
Filed under: Triticum aestivum (bread wheat)
Lineage: Eukaryota; Viridiplantae; Streptophyta; Magnoliopsida; Poales; Poaceae
Description: partial small subunit ribosomal RNA
Source: RNAcentral